Long non-coding RNA from Leopardus geoffroyi (Geoffroy's cat), 900 nucleotides. RefSeq lists it as uncharacterized. The transcript has 3 exons. Lineage: Eukaryota; Metazoa; Chordata; Mammalia; Carnivora; Felidae. The record is from RefSeq and is a predicted model, not a curated record.
CCCAACCUCAGGACCCCCGCCUGGGCCUUGCUAACUCCCCUCCCAGGUCCUGGUGCCGAGACCCCACCCCUCGGUGGACCGGCCAGAAACCCGGCCCCGAUCCAGGGGUCACCCGCAGGGAGACUGAGUACUAGGUCUGCUCAUGUGCUCAGUGGCCACUUGGACGCCAUCUUUUAGGGAGAUGUCCGUUCACAUCCUCUGCCCGCUUUGUCGUUGGGCAAACUGUUGGCUGUCCAGUUGUAAGGACGCUUGCUUCGCACAUCCUUACAACUAGACCCGCCUCCCGUGUACAAGAUUUGCAAAUAUUUCCUCCCACUCUGUGGGCUGUCUCUGGAUGGUGCCCUUUCAUGCACCAAGUUAGUUGUGAUCAGUCCAAGUUCACCUGCUUUUUUUUCUCCUGCUGCCCGAGUUAUGUACGUAUCAUGGUGAAGAGCCCGCCAGCCAAGUCCCAGGCCGCAAAGACGGGAGAUGGAAAAAUCACACCAGCAGUGGUGCUGAAGGUUCCCCGGAAGGACCCCUGGGCAGCCCCUGCACCUGCACCCUGGGUCCCCGGGGAGGGGGGCAACUGGCAUGAGGGUGGUGACGUGGCUGUGCUUAGAGAGCUUCUGGGUCCCCGUGGAAAAAUCCAAGCCCGUCACUGCAAGAAAGGAGCGGGGUGUCAGGACAGCGGUGUGGCGACUGACCCCUGCACGAGCUUGCAUAUUUUCGUGUAUCUUACAACGAACAGACGUUUGUGACGUCACACGUGCCUCUAACACACGUUACUGGGACACCUCCUGCGUCGGAAGACUUUCCGGAAGAGUCACCGCGCGCAGACCCUUCCCGCCGGGCGUUCUCGGUGGCGCCCACGACCAGGAGACGCUGGUCGUCACCAGAACGAACAGAGGAUGUGGGACUGGG